This 450-nucleotide ribosomal RNA is filed under the name uncultured bacterium. Its description in RNAcentral is "bacterial SSU rRNA". It matches the Rfam family "Bacterial small subunit ribosomal RNA", at positions 335 to 800 of the family's 1533-position model. The record is from RNAcentral.
ACUCUACGGGAGGCAGCAGUGGGGAAUAUUGGACAAUGGGGAAACCCGUACGAUCCAGCAAUGCCGCGUGAGUGAUGAAGGCCUUAGGGUUGUAAAGCUCUUUUACCUAGGGAUGAUAAUGACAGUACCUGGAGAAUAAGCUCCGGCUAACUCCGUGCCAGCAGCCGCGGUAAUACGGAGGGAGCUAGCGUUGUUCGGAAUUACUGGGCGUAAAGCGCACGUAGGCGGUUACUCAAGUCAGAGGUGAAAGCCCGGGGCUCAACCCCGGAACUGCCUUUGAAACUAGGUAACUAGAAUCCUGGAGAGGUGAGUGGAAUUCCAAGUGUAGAGGUGAAAUUCGUAGAUAUUCGGAAGAACACCAGUGGCGAAGGCGGCGUCACUGGACAGGUAUUGACGCUGAGGUGCGAAAGCGUGGGAGCAAACAGGAUUAGAUACCCUGGUAGGUCAGUC